UACGGAGGGUGCAAGCGUUAUCCGGAUUCACUGGGUUUAAAGGGUGCGUAGGUGGGUCUGUAAGUCUGUGGUGAAAUCUCCGAGCUUAACUUGGAAACUGCCAUGGAUACUAUAGGUCUUGAAUACUGUGGAGGUUAGCGGAAUAUGUCAUGUAGCGGUGAAAUGCUUAGAUAUGACAUAGAACACCAAUUGCGAAGGCAGCUCACUACGGAUGUAUUGACACUGAGGCACGAAAGCGUGGGGAUCAAACAGG
RNAcentral lists this ribosomal RNA (253 nucleotides) under uncultured bacterium. RNAcentral's name for it is "partial 16S ribosomal RNA". It matches the Rfam family "Bacterial small subunit ribosomal RNA", at positions 524 to 776 of the family's 1533-position model. The record is from RNAcentral.